AUUAGGUGUCAAACAGAGGUAAUUAAACUACACGAUGACUGGUAGAUCACACACUGGACACCCCAACACAGAAAUAAAGACCGGCUAUUAGGUGUCAAACAGAGGUAAUUAAACUACACGAUGACUGGUAGAUCACACACUGGACACCCCAACAGAGAAAUAAAGACCGGCUAUUAGGUGUCAAACAGAGGUAAUUAAACUACACGAUGACUGGUAGAUCACACACUGGACACCCCAACACAGAAAUAAAGACCGGCUAUUAGGUGUCAAACAGAGGUAAUUAAACUACACGAUGACUGGUAGAUCACACACUGGACACCCCAACACAGAAAUAAAGACCGGCUAUUAGGUGUCAAACAGAGGUAAUUAAACUACACGAUGACUGGUAGAUCACACACUGGACACCCCAACACAGAAAUAAAGACCGGCUAUUAGGUGUCAAACAGAGGUAAUUAAACUACACGAUGACUGGUAGAUCACACACUGGACACCCCAACACAGAAAUAAAGACCGGCUAUUAGGUGUCAAACAGAGGUAAUUAAACUACACGAUGACUGGUAGAUCACACACUGGACACCCCAACAGAGAAAUAAAGACCGGCUAUUAGGUGUCAAACAGAGGUAAUUAAACUACACGAUGACUGGUAGAUCACACACUGGACACCCCAACACAGAAAUAAAGACCGGCUAUUAGGUGUCAAACAGAGGUAAUUAAACUACACGAUGACUGGUAGAUCACACACUGGACACCCCAACACAGAAAUAAAGACCGGCUAUUAGGUGUCAAACAGAGGUAAUUAAACUACACGAUGACUGGUAGAUCACACACUGGACACCCCAACACAGAAAUAAAGACCGGCUAUUAGGUGUCAAACAGAGGUAAUUAAACUACACGAUGACUGGUAGAUCACACACUGGACACCCCAACACAGAAAUAAAGACCGGCUAUUAGGUGUCAAACAGAGGUAAUUAAACUACACGAUGACUGGUAGAUCACACACUGGACACCCCAACACAGAAAUAAAGACCGGCUAUUAGGUGUCAAACAGAGGUAAUUAAACUACACGAUGACUGGUAGAUCACACACUGGACACCCCAACACAGAAAUAAAGACCGGCUAUUAGGUGUCAAACAGAGGUAAUUAAACUACACGAUGACUGGUAGAUCACACACUGGACACCCCAACACAGAAAUAAAGACCGGCUAUUAGGUGUCAAACAGAGGUAAUUAAACUACACGAUGACUGGUAGAUCACACACUGGACACCCCAACACAGAAAUAAAGACCGGCUAUUAGGUGUCAAACAGAGGUAAUUAAACUACACGAUGACUGGUAGAUCACACACUGGACACCCCAACAGAGAAAUAAAGACCGGCUAUUAGGUGUCAAACAGAGGUAAUUAAACUACACGAUGACUGGUAGAUCACACACUGGACACCCCAACACAGAAAUAAAGACCGGCUAUUAGGUGUCAAACAGAGGUAAUUAAACUACACG
Molecule: long non-coding RNA, 1496 nt
Organism: Gigantopelta aegis
Lineage: Eukaryota; Metazoa; Mollusca; Gastropoda; Neomphalida; Peltospiridae
Exons: 4
Source: RefSeq, a predicted model, not a curated record